GAGGGAUUGAAUUAACUAAAGAUUUGGCCUACUUGCAUGUCUGUAUAUGGGAGUAUAAGAGGGUGGGGUUGCACUAUGACUUCAUGUAGAUUCUGUAUUGUGGGUGAAAAGGAAACUUCAUUCACUGUGAUGCCAAUGUCUUUAGGCCUAGAUGGAAUUUGUGUAAUGCAUCUAGAAUAGUGUUUUGCUCAGAAUUACAAUAGGCAAUAUUGUUUCCCACAAUUAUGCACACCAUCUAUGCAUGAAUGACACUUUGGCAGAAUAUUCUUGUUUUUCCCUAUUUAAACUGUUCUAUACUCUUAGAAGUAAAGGUGCCUGGAAGAACCUUUAGGGUUGCCACACCUACAGAACCUUUCCAGUUGAAAAAGGUUUUCUUGAGGAACCCCUCUGAAAAGUUCAUUCGAGGAACCCUUGUGUAAAGGUUUGAAAAUUAAUAUUUUUGUGAUGGGAGGUAUUCAAUGUUGAGCCUUUUUGAUAAUAUAUUGUAGAGGUACCUGUCUAUCAGAUUGGAGCCGUGGCUUUCAGUCUAAUACACACCAGCCAGGUUGUAGUUGGUCUAGUCUAGUACAAACCAGUCAGGUUGUAGUUGGUCUAGUCUAGUACAAACCAGUCAGGUUGUAGUUGGUCUAGUCUAGUACAAACCAGUCAGGUUGUAGUUGGUCUAGUCUAGUACAAACCAGUCAGGUUGUAGUUGGUCUAGUCUAGUACAAACCAGUCAGGUUGUAGUUGGUCUAGUCUAGUACAAACCAGUCAGGUUGUAGUUGGUCUAAUACAAACCAGCCAGGUUGUAGUUGGUCUAGUCUAGUACAAACCAGCCAGGUUGUAGUUGGUCUAGUCUAGUACAAACCAGCCAGGUUGUAGUUGGUCUAGUCUAAUACAAACCAGCCAGGUUGUAGUUGGUCUAGUCUAAUACAAACCAGCCAGGUUGUAGUUGGUCUAGUCUAAUACAAACCAGCCAGGUUGUAGUCGGUCUAAUACAAACCAGCCAGGUUGUAGUCGGUCUAAUACAAACCAGCCAGGUUGUAGUCGGUCUAAUACAAACCAGCCAGGUUGUAGUCGGUCUAAUACAAACCAGCCAGGUUGUAGUCGGUCUAAUACAAACCAGCCAGGUUGUAGUCGGUCUGGUCUAAUACAAACCAGCCAGGUUGUAGUCGGUCUGGUCUAAUACAAACCAGCCAGGUUGUAGUCGGUCUGGUCUAAUACAAACCAGCCAGGUUGUAGUCGGUCUGGUCUAAUACAAACCAGCCAGGUUGUAGUCGGACUGGUCUAAUACAAACCAGCCAGGUUGUAGUUGGUCUAAUACAAACCAGCCAGGUUGUAGUUGGACUAGUCUAAUACAAACCAGCCAGGUUGUAGUCGGUCUAGUCUAAUACAAACCAGCCAGGUUGUAGUCGGUCUGGUCUAAUACAAACCAGCCAGGUUGUAGUUGGUCUAAUCAAACCAGCCAGGUUGUAGUUGGUCUAAUACAAACCAGCCAGGUUGUAGUCGGUCUAGUCUAAUACAAACCAGCCAGGUUGUAGUCGGUCUAGUCUAAUACAAACCAGCCAGGUUGUAGUUGGUCUAAUACAAACCAGCCAGGUUGUAGUCGGUCUAGUCUAAUACAAACCAGCCAGGUUGUAGUCGGUCUAGUCUAAUACAAACCAGCCAGGUUGUAGUUGGUCUAAUACAAACCAGCCAGGUUGUAGUUGGUCUAGUACAAACCAGCCAGGUUAUAGCUGGUCUAGUACAAACCAGCCAGGUUAUAGCUGGUCUAGUACAAACCAGCCAGGUUAUAGCUGGUCUAGUACAAACCAGCCAGGUUAUAGCUGGUCUAGUACAAACCAGCCAGGUUAUAGCUGGUCUAGUACAAACCAGCCAGGUUAUAGCUGGUCUAGUACAAACCAGCCAGGUUAUAGCUGGUCUAGUACAAACCAGCCAGGUUGUAGCUGGUCUAGUACAAACCAGCCAGGUUGUAGCUGGUCUAGUACAAACCAGCCAGGUUGUAGUUGGUCUAGUACAAACCAGCCAGGUUGUAGUUGGUCUAAUACAAACCAGCCAGGUUGUAGUUGGUCUAAUACAAACCAGCCAGGUUGUAGUUGGUCUAAUACAAACCAGCCAGGUUGUAGUCGGUCUGGUCUAAUACAAACCAGCCAGGUUGUAGUCGGUCUGGUCUAAUACAAACCAGCCAGGUUGUAGUCGGUCUGGUCUAAUACAAACCAGCCAGGUUGUAGUCGGUCUAGUCUAGUACAAACCAGCCAGGUUGUAGUUGGUCUAGUCUAAUACAAACCAGCCAGGUUGUCAUCGUUUCUUAAUCCCUGAAAACACACA
Molecule: long non-coding RNA, 2307 nt
Organism: Oncorhynchus tshawytscha (Chinook salmon)
Lineage: Eukaryota; Metazoa; Chordata; Actinopteri; Salmoniformes; Salmonidae
Exons: 3
Source: RefSeq, a predicted model, not a curated record